Salvia miltiorrhiza (redroot sage) is the source of this 549-nucleotide long non-coding RNA. RefSeq lists it as uncharacterized. The transcript is spliced from 2 exons. NCBI's taxonomy places the organism in Eukaryota, Viridiplantae, Streptophyta, Magnoliopsida, Lamiales, Lamiaceae. The record is from RefSeq and is a predicted model, not a curated record.
CGAUUUAAUUAAGUAAUUGGGCUUAAUUUUAAUUAUUUUGAACUGCAUAUUUCUUUUAAUUAAGUUGGACUUGUCCUUAAAUUAUUUUACUAAUCAAAAUUUUCAUACGAAAUUAUAUCUUAUUAUUUAAAUUAUUAAAUCAAUAAUUUUAAUGGUCAUAUAUAAAAUUCUUAUAGUUUAAAUUAUUUUAAAGUUCAAACAGGCCCUUAUAUUUUUAUAUUUGAAUUUAUCUGACUAGGUGAGGCGCGACUAGGACAUAACUGUUGAUCUGAAAUUAUUCAAGUUAUCUAUCAAAUCCAUAUUUUCAGUUUCAGGUGAUUGAUAUCGGAGGCGCGUGGAGAGUCGAAUGGGCGCGUCGAAUCUAUUUAAAGAUAAAUGUUUCUUAAAACAUAUUAUGUUAUUUCAUGUGAUAUCUUUUGGUUAUGUAAACUCUGAAAUUCUAUACUAUUUGAGAUUUGUGUGUGAUUUAUUUAAAUAAAUGUUGUUAUAUUAUUUUAAUGUCAUGACUUGUUUAAUUUAUAUUUAAAUUCAUUUCAAAUAUUUAUUUAA